RNAcentral lists this long non-coding RNA (459 nucleotides) under Elaeis guineensis (African oil palm). RNAcentral describes it as "long non-coding RNA (EGUI_LNC033896)". Lineage: Eukaryota; Viridiplantae; Streptophyta; Magnoliopsida; Arecales; Arecaceae. The record is from RNAcentral.
GGGAAGAUAUUUUUUUCUUUCGACAGCACAAGUCGGCCAUCCUUCUUCUCCACUCAAAAACCAUUCCAGCUACCAUUGUUUCAUCUCUUCUCUACAUAGCCACCAUCAUUCUCCACACCAAAAUCCCUUUCUUCGGGGUGUCAUCAUCUCUCUUUCUGCUAUCGUCAGACAUUUUUCAGCUGCUGUCCAGGACUCUCUUCAGCCCCAGGAUGUCAGUGAGCAAGAGUUCCAUGGAAGACUAGACUUUUUCAACUCAGAAAGAUGAUGAAACCAGUAACAUAGAUUUAUUUUCUUUCUCUUGUAUUCAUUUCCUAUGUAAUGAAAUAAAGAAUUAUUUUGUGCUUCAUAUUUCUUUGAUAUUCUUUCUUCUUCCUUUAGAGGUUUGAAUUUAGCGUGCACAGCCUAUACAUUUCACAGACAUACCAUAAUCUAUAGAUACGGUGCGUGCUUAGGAGAGAU